AUCCAUGUUUCUUUCUCUCCUCCUCCUCCCCCCCUCCUAUCUACUCUCUAAAAAAAAAAAAAGUUCACAACCGCAUGCAAGAGCAACCUGGAGAGACUUUGACAGCUCAGGUCAGCAUAAUACCUGCAGCUGCCACUUGCCUUUCCUAUAUCU
This 153-nucleotide small nucleolar RNA is filed under the name Myotis davidii. Its description in RNAcentral is "Small nucleolar RNA SNORA44". It matches the Rfam family "Small nucleolar RNA SNORA44". From Rfam's summary of the family: ACA44 is a member of the H/ACA class of snoRNA that guide the sites of modification of uridines to pseudouridines. The record is from Rfam by way of RNAcentral. Lineage: Eukaryota; Metazoa; Chordata; Mammalia; Chiroptera; Vespertilionidae.